This 450-nucleotide ribosomal RNA is filed under the name uncultured beta proteobacterium. RNAcentral describes it as "bacterial SSU rRNA". It matches the Rfam family "Bacterial small subunit ribosomal RNA", at positions 354 to 796 of the family's 1533-position model. Lineage: Bacteria; Pseudomonadati; Pseudomonadota; Betaproteobacteria. The record is from RNAcentral.
GUGGGGAAUUUUGGACAAUGGGGGCAACCCUGAUCCAGCCAUGCCGCGUGCGGGAAGAAGGCCUUCGGGUUGUAAACCGCUUUUAGUCGGGAAGAAAAGGCGUCCACUAACACUGGGCGUUCUUGACGGUACCGGCGGAAUAAGCACCGGCUAACUACGUGCCAGCAGCCGCGGUAAUACGUAGGGUGCGAGCGUUAAUCGGAAUUACUGGGCGUAAAGCGUGCGCAGGCGGUUCGUUAAGUUUGCGGUGAAAGCCCCGGGCUCAACCUGGGAAUGGCCGUGGAAACUGGCGGGCUGGAGUGCGGCAGAGGGGGGUGGAAUUCCGCGUGUAGCAGUGAAAUGCGUAGAGAUGCGGAGGAACACCGAUGGCGAAGGCAGCCCCCUGGGCCGACACUGACGCUCAGGCACGAAAGCGUGGGGAGCAAACAGGAUUAGAAACCCCGGUAGUCC